Long non-coding RNA from Cannabis sativa, 2610 nucleotides. RefSeq lists it as uncharacterized. Lineage: Eukaryota; Viridiplantae; Streptophyta; Magnoliopsida; Rosales; Cannabaceae. The record is from RefSeq and is a predicted model, not a curated record. The transcript is spliced from 2 exons.
CUCAACUUUUUCUUUUCUUAUUUUUCUUGCUAAAAAACUUUUUUUUUUUUAAUUUUUUUUACCGAUGGAACAAUCUCAGCCCAUAUGAUAUAAAAAUGAGAGAUUUUUUUAAUUAGAUAGAAAAAUUAAGCAUAAAAACUCAAAAUUUUCUAAUUUUACCCAUUCAUGGGUAAUACCCAUUAAGAGUGCACCCAUAUGUAUAUAUAUAUAUAUGAUAUUAUGAUGAUAUGUCAUAUCAUACAUUGAGAGAAGAAAAAAAAGUAGUGAGACUCAUCAUUACAUGUGAAUGGAAAGAGAGAGAAAUAAAAUGUUAGAAAAAAAAAAAGAAAACUAGAAAAAAAGUCUGCUUCAGUGUAAGAAUAUAUAUAUGUUUUAACCGUAUGCUAAUAAAUGGUAUAUCUUCUAAAUAAUUGACCAACAAUAUUAUAGCAAUUAAUUUUAGAUUUUAGUCCGUUGAUGCAAUUAAUUCUUAUAUUUUUUAGUUUUCAUUCUAAUAAAAUUUCAAUUUUUAUUUUGUUAGUAAUUUUUAUACUUUUUUUUUUGUAUGUUUUUGUCAAUGUAGGAUGGUGGUGAGGGUAAUGGUUUAGCUGUUGAUAUAUUGGGUGGUGUUAAUGAUGAUGGUGCUGAAGUUUAUAAGGUGACUUUAUGUUUUUUUUUGUUUUGAAAUGUAUUAUAUUGUGUGUUUUUAAAUUUAUUAUAUAUUAGUAUCUUUUGUUGUUUUUUUCUCAAGAAAUAAGACAAAUAUCAGAUGCUAUUGUUAAUGAAGUUACUGAUCAGGCUGUUGAUGUAGGUGCUGAGGAUGGCAUGGAUAAGGUUUUGUUUUUUAUUUUUUAUUUGCAAUUAUUUUGCUUUGUAUUUUGUUUAGUUGAUUUAGUAACUAAUAUGUUUCUUUUUCAUGUACCGUUUUUCAAAUUGGUCACGAUUGUUCAAGUUUUGAUAUUAUGGGUUCUUUGUUGGUGCAGCCUGAAAAUGUUGAAGUUUUGUUGGAAGAUAAAAAAGUAGUUGGAGAUGAUAAUGUUAUGGAAGCUUCUAAAAGGAAUAGUGAGAGUACUGAAGAUGGUAUUACAUCUGCUGAGAUGUUAAUUAUAUAAGAGAAAGUGGAUGCUGUUUGUCAUGAUUAUGAGUUGAAGAAGAGUAUGGUAUGUGAUUUGUAUAUAUUUAUGUAUGAUUAAUUUUUUAAUUAUUAUUAAUUUGUUUUGACAUUUUGUUAUGAGUUUUUCAUAUUAUUUUAGGAAAAAUUUAAAGUUAUUGAUUUGGGUAGUGCUGAUACUCCAAGUGUGGAUUUGCAAGGUGUUAUUAUAAUUGACUUUGGUGAUUCGUCUAGAAAAUCUGUUAAGAUUGGCGAAACAAAGUAUUUGAAAGGUCUACACCCUUUCAAUUCUGAGUUGCUUGAUCCACUGCAUUGUCUUCAAUAAGAUUCUUUUGAUGAGUGGUUUCUUGAAGUUAUUCUUAUAUUAUUAUUUCUUCACUGUUUCAUAGUGUAAACACUAGUCUAAGUUGUCAUCUUUGGAUGUACAACUAGAUGUUUCAUUUACAAAUACUUAUCUAUUGAGAUCUAACACUAUUAUGUUUGUCUAAUGGAUGGCAAUCCUUUGGGAUUUGUCCCAUUAAAACAACAAGGUAAGUUAGACCAAUAAUGAAGAUUCAAAAUUAUACUACAACAUUAAUAACAGAAAACAACAUGGUUCAAUAUAAAUUCAUACACAUUUAGAAAUUAUCAUACAAUUAGUGUAAUGACUGCAUAUUAGAAUAUGGAUUAGUAAAGGCAAUAAGCAUUUAUUAUUGGUAUUUUUAUAAUUAUGCAUGAUUUUAUUAUGAGUUGGGUCCCAUUUUUAGAAAUGAGAAUUAGAGUUAUAAUUUCUCAAUUUUAGAGAUUUUAUUAAACUCUAGGGGUACUAUUUAAGUUAUAUAUGCAUUAUGUAAUUUUUAUGAUUUUGUUCGGCGAUAACGGAAAAUGAGAUGGAUAGUCGUUUGAGUCACUUAGAUAAGUCGAGAACCUUUUUCUUAGAGGGAAAAAUAUUUGUGACAAAUAAAAUUCGGGUUUGAGCAGGGUUAUGGCUUCUGACCAUUUUACCCUUAGGCUUUAUUUGGCUUAAGUAGAAGUAAAAGGAUAUUUUGGUAAUUUGGCAUUAAGUGAUAGGUGGCUAGUUAGUUGUGUGCCACCUAGCUACUCUUAUGUUCAGCCUAGAUUAACUAUUUUCUUGGGGAAUUAAUUAAUUAGGUUUGAUUUAACAUAGGAAAAUCAAAGAAAAAAAUAAGAAAUAGAUAAUACUACUCUUCUUCUUCUUCUUUCUCUCAAAACCAAGAAGGACCCUAGGAAUUGUUGUUGAGUUCUGCAUAUUCAACAAGAUUUCAACUGGAAUUCUUUAGCUCAAUCAAAGGUAAAGGAAAGGCGAACGCUAAACAGGAGUGAGCCUCGAGCUAGGGUGAAGUUGUACAUGUCAUGGCGGCGCGACCUGGAGUGUUCGGUCUCGAGACAUCUGGGUUUUCUUUUUGUAGUCGUUGUGCAACCUGACUAGUGUAUUUUAAAAUAUUUUAUAAAUGUUUAAUAACGGGAUCCCGGCUUUUGUAAAUCAUUAAAUAAAAGUUUAUAAAGUUUCAUAGUCUAAA